CGAUAACUCUUCAAGGAAGACUGAGUUUAUAGGAAUAUCUAGACUCAGAAAAAUAAUUUGAUCAUUCAGCAGGAACACAUUUGCCCCUUAGUCCUGAUGAGCAUGCAGACCAUUAUUAGCAAGGAAGCUAGCUUGUUUUUUGCACCAAAGUUACCAGGUGAUGCUGAUGCUCCUGCUGACACUCCUCACCCAGGGAUCACACUUUGA
RNAcentral lists this long non-coding RNA (207 nucleotides) under Callithrix jacchus (white-tufted-ear marmoset). Its description in RNAcentral is "lncRNA (ENSCJAG00000083220.1)". Lineage: Eukaryota; Metazoa; Chordata; Mammalia; Primates; Cebidae. The record is from RNAcentral.